GGGAGCACAGGUUGGUAGACUAGUCUUAAUAAUAAAUAUAUGUUCGUCUUCAUUCUCCCGAGCUUCUUUUAUGUUCUCACGUCAUUAUACGUGCUGAUGGUCCCUGGAGAUAGUAGGUGUUUGCUAUGUGUUGCCGAAUCGAAGACACGGUGGUGUUCUUUUAUUCUCUAUGAUGUAUAACGACGGCACACCAUGAUACUUAUAUUAUGGUUUAAUACCAUGUCAUUACAUUUCAAGCUUUUCAGUCGUGCCACUAUAACUUUCACAAUAUCCAAGAUAUACCAUUACUUACAUUUUUGUUGUGUAUCUCAAAUUUUUUGGACUAAUUUGCAGUUGUCUUCUUUGUUGUCCCGCCUCUCUUUUGUUCAUCUGUCUCUCAAUUUUCCUUUCCACCAACCUCCCAAUUCCUAGCCUUCUCAAGAGAACUCGUUCCCCGAUAUUUUUUUUAUCCAAUUCUUAUCGAGUUUGGAUUUUCCAACUCUAACCUAGAGCAGAUUGGUUGGAUCGGUCUAUGUUAGAUAUAUGGGGUUGUUCUAUAUAAAUAGUUCUUAAUAAAUCUCAAAGACCCAUUAAUAUUAAAUGGGUACACCAUCUAUUAGUCCUAUAUUACUAGUAAACGAGUGUGUGGGGCGUUUUCCUCCCUAUAAAUACGGAACACCCCUUAUGAAAAAGACGCACCAUAGACUAUUAAGCAAUGAGUUCCCUAGGUUUGGGAAUCCCUAAAAGCAACUCCAACAGAUCCUCUUUCUCCUUCUCCUUUUCCACUUUUCAGCCAUAAAGAGGGUUGAGGGGGAAAAAAAUUCUUCCAACAGAUCCCCUUUCUAUCUUCCUUUCCCCUCUCUUUUUUCUCAAUCCCCUUUAUCAUCCUCCUUCUCCCCUUUAUCUUCCUCCUCCCCUUUACAAAGGGGAUUUACCCCUCCUCCCUUUCAUCCAUU
RNAcentral lists this long non-coding RNA (935 nucleotides) under Setaria viridis. RNAcentral describes it as "long non-coding RNA (SVIR_LNC002167)". The record is from RNAcentral. Lineage: Eukaryota; Viridiplantae; Streptophyta; Magnoliopsida; Poales; Poaceae.